This 73-nucleotide transfer RNA is filed under the name Salmo salar (Atlantic salmon). It matches the Rfam family "tRNA". Rfam says of the family: Transfer RNA (tRNA) molecules are approximately 80 nucleotides in length. Their secondary structure includes four short double-helical elements and three loops (D, anti-codon, and T loops). Further hydrogen bonds mediate the characteristic L-shaped molecular structure. tRNAs have two regions of fundamental functional importance: the anti-codon, which is responsible for specific mRNA codon recognition, and the 3' end, to which the tRNAs corresponding amino acid is attached (by aminoacyl-tRNA synthetases). tRNAs cope with the degeneracy of the genetic code in two manners: having more than one tRNA (with a specific anti-codon) for a particular amino acid; and 'wobble' base-pairing, i.e. permitting non-standard base-pairing at the 3rd anti-codon position. Lineage: Eukaryota; Metazoa; Chordata; Actinopteri; Salmoniformes; Salmonidae. The record is from Rfam by way of RNAcentral.
UCCCAUUUGGCUCAGUUGGUAGAGCAUGGUGUUUGCAAUGCCAGGGUUGUGGGUUCGAUUCCCACGAGGGGCC